AGCCGCCGCCAUGACCAGCAGCAUGUGAAGACGCCGGCAAGCCACCAGCCACGUGGCAAGGAGAUCCUCAUCUCCAUCUUACUCCAUAGAUCAGGAUUUCUCAGAAAUUUGCCCACAGCAAAAUCACUGGUGCAGCUGGUAAGGAGUCCAGAUGGCCAAAACCACAAUAUCAGCAUCGUGUGGGAUUCCGAGGAGGAAACAAACCAUAAGGGAAGAGUGAGGAAGAUUGUGGAGUGAAUUUCAUGGAUUUGACAUGAAGAAAGGUUGUCUGUAGAUCCUGCCUCCAUUGAUGAGGAACAUGACCUCAAUACAAUGCAGCUGAUGAUCAGAAAUAAAUAUUUCUAAUAAUUAACAGACUGAAAACUUUGUGAGCACAUUUGGAACGCAUUGCAUUUACUCUGUUGUAAGCACAGUAUUAGAUUUUUUUUACAAAAGAAAUAAUGACCCAAAAUGCUUUUAUUUUCCUUUAAAUUUAU
Molecule: non-coding RNA, 476 nt
Organism: Peromyscus maniculatus bairdii (prairie deer mouse)
Lineage: Eukaryota; Metazoa; Chordata; Mammalia; Rodentia; Cricetidae
Source: RefSeq, a predicted model, not a curated record